GAUGAACGCUGGCGGCGUGCCUAAUACAUGCAAGUCGAGCGAACGGACGAGAAGCUUGCUUCUCUGAUGUUAGCGGCGGACGGGUGAGUAACACGUGGAUAACCUACCUAUAAGACUGGGAUAACUUCGGGAAACCGUAGAUAAUACCGGAUAAUAUUUUGAACCGCAUGGUUCAAAAGUGAAAGACGGUCUUGCUGCCACUUAUAGAUGGAUCCGCGCUGCAUUAGCUAGUUGGUAAGGUAACGGCUUACCAAGGCAACGAUGCAUAGCCGACCUGAGAGGGUGAUCGGCCACACUGGAACUGAGACACGGUCCAGACUCCUACGGGAGGAAGCAGUAGGGAAUCUUCCGCAAUGGGCGAAAGCCUGACGGAGCAACGCCGCGUGAGUGAUGAAGGUCUUCGGAUCGUAAAACUCUGUUAUUAGGGAAGAACAUAUGUGUAAGUAACUGUGCACAUCUUGACGGUACCUAAUCAGAAAGCCACGGCUAACUACGUG
Molecule: ribosomal RNA, 497 nt
Filed under: uncultured bacterium
Lineage: Bacteria
Description: partial 16S ribosomal RNA
Rfam family: Bacterial small subunit ribosomal RNA
Source: RNAcentral